This 776-nucleotide ribosomal RNA is filed under the name uncultured Neocallimastigales. RNAcentral's name for it is "partial large subunit ribosomal RNA". It matches the Rfam family "Eukaryotic large subunit ribosomal RNA", at positions 23 to 645 of the family's 3401-position model. The record is from RNAcentral. Lineage: Eukaryota; Fungi; Neocallimastigomycota; Neocallimastigomycetes; Neocallimastigales.
AGAGAGAGACAUGCGCGCAUAUCAAUAAGCGGAGGAAAAGAAACUAACUAGGAUUCCCUUAGUAACGGCGAGUGAAGCGGGAAGAGCUCAAAUUUGAAAUCUUCAAGGUUUUACCUUGACGAAUUGUAGUUUAAAGAAGUGUUUUCUGCUGAAGUUUUGGUAAAAGUUCUUUGGAAUAGGACAUCAUAGAGGGUGAGAAUCCCGUAUUUGACCAUUAUUUUCAGCUUUGUGAUACACUUUCAAAGAGUCGGAUUGUUUGGGAAUGCAGUCCAAAAUGGGUGGUAAAUUUCAUCUAAAGCUAAAUAUUGGCGAGAGACCGAUAGCGAACAAGUACCGUGAGGGAAAGAUGAAAAGAACUUUGAAAAGAGAGUUAAACAGUACGUGAAAUUGUCAAAAAGGGAAGCGUUUGACACCAGUGUUGUUUUCCUCGAAAAUCAAUUAAAAAUGGCUCGAUUUUGUAUUGUUGAGACCUUAAAAGCUCACUGUACAUUUUUCGUGUCUUUUUUAAUGCACUUUUCGUUUAACAAGUCAACAUCAGUUUCUUUUGUUGUAAAAGGGUCAUUGGAAGGUGGCUUUCUUUUCGGAGAAAGUGUUUAUAGCCUUUGGCCUCUGCAAUCGGAGAGACUGAGGUCUGCAGCGUAGACUCUUCGGGGUUAGAUACAUUUGUGCUAAGUUAUAGCUUUUUAUAGACAACUUGUUGACUAUAAUUAGUCUUGUAGCUUACUCGCUUAUGCUAUUUUACCUACGCUUAGGAUGUUGAAGUCAUCGUAUCGCGC